UGUGACUCGUCACACUAUCAUUAACUGAAUCCAUAGGUUAAUGAGGCGAACCGGGGGAACUGAAACAUCUAAGUACCCCGAGGAAAAGAAAUCAACCGAGAUUCCCCCAGUAGCGGCGAGCGAACGGGGAGGAGCCCAGAGCCUGAAUCAGCAUGUGUGUUAGUGGAAGCGUCUGGAAAGGCGCGCGAUACAGGGUGACAGCCCCGUACACAAAAGCGCAUGUGCUGUGAGCUCGAUGAGUAGGGCGGGACACGUGGUAUCCUGUCUGAAUAUGGGGGGACCAUCCUCCAAGGCUAAAUACUCCUGACUGACCGAUAGUGAACCAGUACCGUGAGGGAAAGGCGAAAAGAACCCCGGCGAGGGGAGUGAAAAAGAACCUGAAACCGU
This 387-nucleotide ribosomal RNA is filed under the name Salmonella enterica. RNAcentral's name for it is "partial 23S ribosomal RNA". It matches the Rfam family "Bacterial large subunit ribosomal RNA", at positions 132 to 559 of the family's 2925-position model. Lineage: Bacteria; Pseudomonadati; Pseudomonadota; Gammaproteobacteria; Enterobacterales; Enterobacteriaceae. RNAcentral also lists the same sequence under 4 other names. The record is from RNAcentral.